CGAUGGACAGCUUCACCCUCCCAAUCAAAGAGUUAUUGCAAGAUGAAAACCUCACUAAGGACAAUAGUGUUAGCUGCUGCACAAGCAAUAGAAGCAACAUCACCAUAGACAUCAUCAACAACAAAAACAACAACAUAGAGAGCAACAAUAUAGGAACAAAGGGUGAAGGUAAUAAAAAGACCAAACAUGUUUUUUCAUUGUUUGGUUUAACAAAAGGACCAAAAGGGUAUGAAGAUAAAGAUAAGGUAGAUAAGGAGAACAACAAAAAGAAGCUCAAGUUUGAUAUGAUUCAUACACUAAAAAAGUACUUAAGAAUUGUGCUUUUCAAAGGGGCAAGAGAAAAAGUUAGACUCCAUAGACAAUCACAAUCUUAUUCUUAUUCAGGGAAUGUAACUCCAAGGAAUAAACAAGAUUUGAGAGGUUGGAGGGGGAAAUUUUCAGCACCAGCAUCAAUGAGAACUUCUCCUACAAACAGUGGACUUUUGCUUGCAACUUCAGGUAUUCCUUCUGCUAGUGAUAGUACCAUGGAAGAGUUGCAGGCUGCUAUUCAAGCUGCAAUUACUCACUGCAAAAAUUCAAUUGCAAAAGAAGAAAAGCUCAAAUGCUAAUAUAUAGUUGUCAGGUUCGCAAUACUCUUAGUUACUGGUUAUGCAAUUCAUUACAUUUUACCACAUAGCGAUAAGUGCUUUUUACAUUGUCGAAUAUCAUAAAUUGGUUCAUGAUGCACGAUAUAGCUACGAGGGACGCUAUUCGUUUGGUACACGGUUCAUAAUGGUGUACUUUAUUAUCAUAAAAUUUUCUUUAAGAUGAACUCGAUAUAUAGUAUGCGAAAUAGAAAUUUCCUUAUGCAAUACAAAUUAUUAGUAAGUGUAAUUGUGUACAAGAAUUGAUUUAUAAUUAUGUACAUAGAAUUGAUAUGUGGUUCAAAGGGUUGCAGGGGAAUCUAGCAACAAUGUUAUGAUACAGUGAUAAGAGAUAAGAAAAUUCUUUGUCCUAUUUCCUAUCAUUGAUUUCAUAUGUAGUAUUUAGUAAUUGGAUUCUUAAUAAUGUACUAUUCUACUAGAUUCAAAUAAUAUGUACAAGUGGAAAUAAUAUAUAGAAGAAAUUAAUAAUUCAUGUCUUGUUGUAGUCCAACUUGUGUAGCAUCUCAUGAAUUUCUAAAAUCUUAUGUAUCCAUUUGGAUCAGUGAUAGAAGAAUUGCUACCAAUCCAGAAUAUACAUAUACGUUACAAGAAACUAUGUGUUGUUUUCUAUAAAACAAAGUUUUAAAAAAUUAGUGCUGAUUCUAUAUAUGUGGGAGUUCUAACAUGAAUAAGCUCAUAGCAGCAGUCAAAAAAAUUAUCUCAAGUGUGUUUGCGAGUUGAAUUUUGGAGAGAAAGGAAAGGGAAAACUCAGAGUUAUCUCACAAGUGUAUUCCAUGGUCCUAAAUCCUUUCCCUUUUUUUGCUUCUACUCCAAAACUAAACUCGCAAACAUUGUUAUAUAUCUUUACAUUCAUAACUACCUAAGAGUUUGUAAGGGCA
This 1522-nucleotide long non-coding RNA is filed under the name Lupinus angustifolius (narrow-leaved blue lupine). Its description in RNAcentral is "long non-coding RNA (LANG_LNC003173)". Lineage: Eukaryota; Viridiplantae; Streptophyta; Magnoliopsida; Fabales; Fabaceae. The record is from RNAcentral.